Canis lupus familiaris (dog) is the source of this 996-nucleotide long non-coding RNA. RefSeq lists it as uncharacterized. The record is from RefSeq and is a predicted model, not a curated record. The transcript has 5 exons. NCBI's taxonomy places the organism in Eukaryota, Metazoa, Chordata, Mammalia, Carnivora, Canidae.
UUUUAACUGGAUCAAUUCCAUGGGUCAAAUUAAAUGUUCCUGUCUCAGUCUAUGAGGUCUGUUAUAGCAGGAAUGCCAUAGACUGGGUAACUUAUAAUUAACACAAUUGUAUUUCUCACAGGUCUAGAGGCUGGGAAGUCCAAGAGCAAGGUGCCAGAAGAUUCAGUGUCUGGUGAAGACCUGCUUUUUCAGUCUUCUCACUUUGUCUUCACAUGGUGGAAUAAGUGAGAGAGCUCUCUGGAGUCUCUUUUCUAAGGUCCUUGUAGAAAAAGCAGAAGAGCUCUGCCAGACCAUAGAGAGCCAGUCCUUCUUUGAGAACGCAGCCUUGGCAGCCGUGGGCCUUUGCCUCGCUGUCCCCGCCACCCUUCUUCCCUUGCUGCCCCACCCCCACCAAGAAGCCCCAGUGCCCAACUCCAGCCACUGUCACUGGGAUCCAUGAAAAAGCCAGGCCCGUGUUACUGAUUCUUACAGCUCCAACUCACACCCCUACAUAUGUGAAUCAAAACCUGGACCGCAGGUGCAACUUCUCCUCUGAGCACCAGACACAGACGCUCCCUAGCCUGGGGCACAUCUCAGCCUGGGCUGUCAGAAGCUUUCGCAGAGCCUGAUGAGAAUCUUAAUAAGGAACUCUCCAGAGGUGGCGAUUGGAGGGGGAGAGAAAGGGAGAAAAACAAGAGAAAUGACUGCCCCUCGCUUCAGGGGAAUAGAGCCCUGGCUCUAGCUGCACAUCAGUAUCACCUGAGGUGCCUUCGAAAACUACCAGUGCCUGCUAACUCCACCCACCUACCCACCCACCCUGCACUUCACGAACACCAGACUACAAUUGAACUGGUCUGGGGAGGAGCCCGGCCACCGAGUGUUUCUCAAAAGCUCUGCUUGUCUUGUGAUUCUAAUGUGCAGCCAAGACUGAGAACCACUGCAGGCCAGCCUCUCCGGCUAUGAAGGCGCUCCAGAGACACAGAGAGAGAAUGAGAGGCAGAGACACAGGCAGAGGGA